AUGUUCUGCUUCUGUUUUGAGACAUGGAUUGUGCUGGAGCAUGAGAAGCAAGGCCAGAAGCAAGAGUCGCUGUUUGAUACCUUCUGGCUGAUGACAUUCUUUGAAUCAAUAUCCCUUGUUGGAAGUCAAGGAAUCACAAACUUAUUGCUUGAUGAUGAUAACAAAGGAAUCUUGCUUCCGUAUACGUUUGCAGCCUUAGUGUCAGUAAUAGGAAUAUUGUAUAUCAGAAAAGCACCAAGUAUCAGUACCGCCCAUCAUGCAUCUGUCAUUGGAAGCUACCAAAAAUCAUUUUAUGCUCAUGUCCUCAGAGCAAGACAAAAGAGUGCUGAUUCUGGUCUUAGCUCAAGCAAGUGUCCAGUUCUCUGUAUCAGCCUUUUGGUUCCUCUGGGCACCAACGAUAGUGGGUUUGAUUGA
This 414-nucleotide ribosomal RNA is filed under the name Triticum aestivum (bread wheat). Its description in RNAcentral is "partial small subunit ribosomal RNA". The record is from RNAcentral. Lineage: Eukaryota; Viridiplantae; Streptophyta; Magnoliopsida; Poales; Poaceae.